Molecule: ribosomal RNA, 433 nt
Filed under: uncultured bacterium
Lineage: Bacteria
Description: partial 16S ribosomal RNA
Rfam family: Bacterial small subunit ribosomal RNA
Source: RNAcentral
AACGAACGCUGGCGGCAUGCCUAACACAUGCAAGUCGAACGAGACCUUCGGGUCUAGUGGCGCACGGGUGCGUAACGCGUGGGAACCUGCCUUUAGGUUCGGAAUAACUCAGAGAAAUUUGAGCUAAUACCGGAUGAUGUCUUCGGACCAAAGAUUUAUCGCCUUUAGAUGGGCCCGCGUUGGAUUAGCUAGUUGGUGGGGUAAAGGCCUACCAAGGCGACGAUCCAUAGCUGGUCUGAGAGGAUGAUCAGCCACACUGGGACUGAGACACGGCCCAGACCCCUGCGGGAGGGGGAGGGGGGGAAUAUUGAAAAAGGGGGGAAUCCCUAACCCAGCAAUGCCGGGGGAGGGAAGAGGGCUUUAGGGUUGAAAGGCUCUUUCACCCGAGAUGAUAAUGACAGUAGCGGAAAAAAAGCCCCCGGCAAACCCCGUC